RNAcentral lists this ribosomal RNA (252 nucleotides) under uncultured bacterium. RNAcentral describes it as "partial 16S ribosomal RNA". It matches the Rfam family "Bacterial small subunit ribosomal RNA", at positions 524 to 776 of the family's 1533-position model. The record is from RNAcentral.
UACGUAGGGGCAAGCGUUAUCCGGAAUUACUGGGUGUAAAGGGUACGUAGGCGGCCCAUUAAGUCAGAUGUGAAAGCCCGGAGCUCAACUCCGGGAUUGCAUUUGAAACUGGUGGGCUAGAGUACAGGAGAGGAAAGUGGAAUUCCUAGUGUAGCGAUGAAAUGCGUAGAUAUAGGAAGGAACACCAGUGGCGAAGGCGGCUACCUGGACCAAUACUGACGCUGAGGUGCGAAAGCGUGGGGAGCAAACAGG